AUGACCAGGAGACUGAGGCCUUCAACCCAGGGAGGGAUUGGGAACAGGCAGUACCUAUGAGGAGAAUAAA
Molecule: ribosomal RNA, 70 nt
Filed under: Climacostomum virens
Lineage: Eukaryota; Ciliophora; Heterotrichea; Heterotrichida; Climacostomidae
Description: partial Eukaryotic large subunit ribosomal RNA
Source: RNAcentral